RNAcentral lists this ribosomal RNA (1230 nucleotides) under Triticum aestivum (bread wheat). RNAcentral describes it as "partial small subunit ribosomal RNA". The record is from RNAcentral. Lineage: Eukaryota; Viridiplantae; Streptophyta; Magnoliopsida; Poales; Poaceae.
AUGUCCACAUGUGUACUACCUAAUGAGCUGGUGGUGGACAUCCUGUCUCGACUGCGGCUGAAGUCCCUGUGCCGCUUCAAAUGUGUCUGCAAGUCUUGGCUUGCCUUCUCAUCUCAUCCAUACUACCGACAAAAGUUCCCAAGAACUCCCACUGGUCUCUUGUACCAGAAAUUUGAGCGUGGCAGACUUGCCUCCUCUCUUGGUAGUGGCAUCCAUCUCGCCAGACUGCCCUCAACAACUCAAGAGUGGAUGGCACUUCCAGAUACUGAACCUGGACCAUCGGUCUUUUCAGCUAAUCUCAAGUUGUGUUUUGAUCCAUUAUGGUCUCAACACUUCUGUGUCUUCAAAUUUCAGUCGAGCGCGGUCCUGGGCCCUCAUAUAAUUGGAACCUCCACUGAAGUUAAGGUAUUUUUCUCUGAGGAUUCCACGUGGUCUAGUUGUCUUUGGUGGUCUAGUUGUCUUUGGGAAUAUGGAGAUGGAUUUGAAGGUGAUCCGCUCUUUGUAAAUGGGGUGUUGUACAUGAAGCACCUAUUGGCUCAUAAAAUUCUGGCGCUUGACGCACCUGAUAGAAGUACGAAGUGGCUCGAUCAUAGGAUCAUUCAGCUGCCAGGAUAUCCGAAUAGGUCCAAAAUGACUUUCUGUUCUAAUGGAUGUAUUGGCCAGUCUUCGGGUGUCUUAUGCUACGCGAAACAAGAAUUUGAUGGCUGCGCAAUACGGAUUUGGAGUUUGGAAGUCCCUGAUGGGUGGGCGGUGAGGCAUCGUGUAAGUAUGGUUGAUAUAUUUGGCAGAGACAUUUUUCUCCGCACUGACCGUGAAGGAUACUGGGUUUUCGAAUAUAAAAUCAUGGCCGUUGACCUAGAGAGGGAGCUGGUUAUCCUUGAGGACAAAAUUGGUGAUAAGAUCAUCUCAGCUAGCAUCAGUACUGGUAAACGCUCACAGUCCCAAAAGAUUCCAAGAAGCUUCACCCGAAAAUAUCGCAGCCUAUUCUAUGUGCCAUACUAUGGCAAAGUUCCAGCUUUAGCAGUUAAGGAACAUGAUGGAUACUCUGGGCAUGCACCUGUGUGUGGAACUACUUGGUCAGUUCAUCCUCCUGAUGCAUGCAGAUAUUCAGAAAUGAUGAUAAGAAGAGAUCCGCCUGCAGCAGCAUUGACAGCAUGGGUGAUGCCCAUGGGUGUUCAAGUUCAUCCUCCUGAUCCUGAACUUGUCAUGCUCGAGACGGUAUAUAAUUGA